This 253-nucleotide ribosomal RNA is filed under the name uncultured bacterium. RNAcentral's name for it is "partial 16S ribosomal RNA". It matches the Rfam family "Bacterial small subunit ribosomal RNA", at positions 524 to 776 of the family's 1533-position model. The record is from RNAcentral.
UACGUAGGGUGCAAGCGUUGUCCGGAAUUAUUGGGCGUAAAGAGCUCGUAGGCGGUUUGUCGCGUCUGCUGUGAAAACUCGGGGCUCAACCCCGAGCCUGCAUUCGAUACGGGCAGACUAGAGUUCGGUAGGGGAGACUGGAAUUCCUGGUGUAGCGGUGAAAUGCGCAGAUAUCAGGAGGAACACCGGUGGCGAAGGCGGGUCUCUGGGCCGAUACUGACGCUGAGGAGCGAAAGCGUGGGGAGCGAACAGG